GAUGAGAACGUAGCGAAAUGCGAUAAGUAAUGUGAAUUGCAGAAUUCAGUGAAUCAUCGAAUCUUUGAACGCACAUUGCGCCCGCCAGCACUCUGGCGGGCAUGCCUGUCCGAGCGUCAUUUCAACCCUCGCGCCGUCCCUCCAGGGGGCUCGGCGCGGUGUUGGGGGACACGGCCCCGGCCGCCCCCGAAAUGCAGUGGCGACCCCGCCGCGGCCCCUCCAGCGCAGUAAGCACGCUCGCUACGGGAGGCCCGGUGGACGCGUCCGCCGUAAAACGCCCAACUCUUCAGAAGUUGACCUCGGAUCAGGUAGGGAUACCCGCUGAACUUAAGCAUAUCAAUAAGCGGAGGA
RNAcentral lists this unclassified non-coding RNA (351 nucleotides) under soil metagenome. RNAcentral's name for it is "partial contains 5.8S ribosomal RNA, internal transcribed spacer 2, and large subunit ribosomal RNA". The stretch from base 5 to 119 matches the Rfam family "5.8S ribosomal RNA", at positions 40 to 154 of the family's 154-position model. The record is from RNAcentral.